RNAcentral lists this ribosomal RNA (503 nucleotides) under uncultured bacterium. Its description in RNAcentral is "bacterial SSU rRNA". It matches the Rfam family "Bacterial small subunit ribosomal RNA", at positions 28 to 526 of the family's 1533-position model. The record is from RNAcentral.
GAUGAACGCUGGCGGCGUGCUUAACACAUGCAAGUCGAACGAAGCACUUUUGUCAGAUCCCUUCGGGGUGAAGACGUUAGUGACUGAGUGGCGGACGGGUGAGUAACGCGUGGAUAACCUGCCUUACACAGGGGGAUAACAGUUAGAAAUGACUGCUAAUACCGCAUAAGCGCACAGCAUCGCAUGAUGUCGUGUGAAAAACUCCGGUGGUGUAAGAUGGAUCCGCGUCUGAUUAGCUAGUUGGUGGGGUAACGGCCCACCAAGGCGACGAUCAGUAGCCGGCCUGAGAGGGUGGACGGCCACAUUGGGACUGAGACACGGCCCAGACUCCUACGGGAGGCAGCAGUGGGGGAUAUUGCACAAUGGGGGAAACCCUGAUGCAGCGACGCCGCGUGAGUGAAGACGGCCUUCGGGUUGUAAAGCUCUGUUGUGGGGGACGAAACAAAUGAUGGUACCCCACUAGAAAGCCACGGCUAACUACGUGCCAGCCGCCGCGGUAAAAC